RNAcentral lists this ribosomal RNA (445 nucleotides) under uncultured bacterium. RNAcentral's name for it is "partial 16S ribosomal RNA". It matches the Rfam family "Bacterial small subunit ribosomal RNA", at positions 354 to 796 of the family's 1533-position model. The record is from RNAcentral.
GUGAGGAAUAUUGCGCAAUGGAGGCAACUCUGACGCAGCCAUGCCGCGUGCAGGAAGAAGGCGCUACGCGUUGUAAACUGCUUUUAACCGGGAAGAAACCCCAGGACGUGUCCUGGGUUGACGGUACCGGAGGAAUAAGCACCGGCUAACUUCGUGCCAGCAGCCGCGGUAAUACGAAGGGUGCAAGCGUUAUCCGGAUUCAUUGGGUUUAAAGGGUGCGUAGGCGGAGCGUUAAGUCAGUGGUGAAAUCCUGCAGCUUAACUGUAGACUUGCCAUUGAUACUGGCGCUCUUGAGUGCGCUGGAAGUGGGCGGAAUGUGCCGUGUAGCGGGGAAAUGCUUAGAUAUGGCACAGAACACCAAUUGCGAAGGCAGCUCACUAAGGCGAUACUGACGCUGAGGCACGAAAGCGUGGGGAUCGAACAGGAUUAGAUACCCCGGUAGUCC